Molecule: ribosomal RNA, 843 nt
Filed under: Septotinia populiperda
Lineage: Eukaryota; Fungi; Ascomycota; Leotiomycetes; Helotiales; Sclerotiniaceae
Description: eukaryotic LSU rRNA
Rfam family: Eukaryotic large subunit ribosomal RNA
Source: RNAcentral
UACCUCAGUAACGGCGAGUGAAGCGGUAAAAGCUCAAAUUUGAAAUCUGGCUCUUUCAGAGUCCGAAUUGUAAUUUGUAGAAGAUGCUUCGGGUGUGGUUCCGGUCUAAGUUCCUUGGAACAGGUCAUCACAGAGGGUGAGAAUCCCGUAUGUGACUGGAUACCUAUGCUCAUGUGAAGCUCUUUCGACGAGUCGAGUUGUUUGGGAAUGCAGCUCAAAAUGGGUGGUAUAUUUCAUCUAAAGCUAAAUAUUGGCCAGAGACCGAUAGCGCACAAGUAGAGUGAUCGAAAGAUGAAAAGCACUUUGGAAAGAGAGUUAAACAGUACGUGAAAUUGUUGAAAGGGAAGCGCUUGCAAUCAGACUUGCCCCUAGUUCCAGUGGUGACUUGUUCACCGUUAAUCUGCCUAGGGUCAGGCCAGCAUCAGUUUGGAUGGUUAGAUAAAGGCUUGAAGAAUGUGGCCCUCUUCGGGGGGUGUUAUAGCUUCAGGUGCAAUGUAGCCUAUCUGGACUGAGGACCGCGCUUCGGCUAGGAUGCUGGCGUAAUGGUUGUAAGCGACCCGUCUUGAAACACGGACCAAGGAGUGUACCUCAUAUGCGAGUGUUUGGGUGUUAAACCCAUACGCGUAAUGAAAGUGAACGGAGGUGAGAACCCUUAAGGGUGCAUCAUCGACCGAUCCUGAUGUCUUCGGAUGGAUUUGAGUAAGAGCAUAUGGGGUGCGACCCGAAAGAUGGUGAUCUAUACGUGAAUAGGGUGAAGCCAGAGGAAACUCUGGUGGAGGCUCGCAGCGGUUCUGACGUGCAAAUCGAUCGUCAAAUUUGCGUAUAGGGGCGAAAGACUAAUCG